CCGCCUCCCCGGAGGUCCAGUUCUGGCCGCCGCCCCGGGCCAUUUCGGAGGCCUCGGGCGGCUCGGCUGUGGUGUCGGCGAUAGUGGUAACCCUUUGUCCACGUGAACCUGGUAUGUGACAGCUAUCAAUGACAACAUAUCUCCCUGAUUUAUGAUUGAUAGUUGUGUGACUGUGAUGAUGUGGUCAGCAAUGGAAAAGCUUCUGAAAACUCUAUUUUUUCCCUCCUUUUCCCCCCCAAGGAUAUCCUGAAUAUGAAACCCCUUUUUCCUUUCAGUAGAGAUGAAAGGGGCUGAGGGUGGGGGAAUUGCAGGUGUGGGAUUUGUUACACACACUGUCAGAUGCCAUUACUCUGUAAGUUAUCUUUGCUUAAAUGUUUUUCUUUGUUUCAAGGAAAGAUUUGAUAGCAAGGUCUCAGUGGGGAAUUUUAAGGGGAAAGAGUAUCAUAGAAACAAAAGGUAACAAUAAAAUCUUUUCUUGAAAGGAUGUCCUUAAUAUAUGGAUUGGGUUAUUGACCAUUCUCAUCAAGAUUUCAUUGAGAUGAGAAAACUGGUAUAUUGAUGGGUCCUUACUGAUGC
Molecule: non-coding RNA, 576 nt
Organism: Phascolarctos cinereus (koala)
Lineage: Eukaryota; Metazoa; Chordata; Mammalia; Diprotodontia; Phascolarctidae
Source: RefSeq, a predicted model, not a curated record